This is a long non-coding RNA of Felis catus (domestic cat), 498 nucleotides long. RefSeq lists it as uncharacterized. The transcript has 3 exons. The record is from RefSeq and is a predicted model, not a curated record. NCBI's taxonomy places the organism in Eukaryota, Metazoa, Chordata, Mammalia, Carnivora, Felidae.
UGCCACGUUUCCAGAAGAAGACUUAGAAGAAGUACCUGCCCUAAUACCAGAGUUCCAGCCUCAAACCAGAGCUACCGUCCUGAGCUCAUGUAUAUAAGCAGCAAAGGACUCCUAAGAAUAGCUGCCCUGACAAGCCAGCACAGAUUUAUCCUAUGAUACAGGAUGGCAGUGUCAUUGUGCACCAUUUGAUCAUGAGAAGAUGUAAAUGCCCUUGUCCCUCGUCCAAGUUUACCACAGCUAUACAGACUGCCCACACCAUCUCUCACUUCUCUGUCAGUUCGUGCUGGUUUCUACAAGAAGGCCGAGGCCAAUCUUAGGGACAUGUGGCCUCAUUUCCACCACCCUGCACCUCCUGCAUUGAGGACUGAGGCAGAAUCUGCCUCAACGUGUUGCUGUUUGGUUCUAGUGAUGAUCGCACUCUAUUUCACCUCUACUCCCAGCUGUAUUCUACCAAUACCGUCAAAAACCACUGAGAAUACAGUCCCUGAUUUUCUCUUC